RNAcentral lists this ribosomal RNA (468 nucleotides) under uncultured bacterium. RNAcentral describes it as "partial 16S ribosomal RNA". It matches the Rfam family "Bacterial small subunit ribosomal RNA", at positions 28 to 507 of the family's 1533-position model. The record is from RNAcentral.
GACGAACGCUGGCGGCGUGCUUAACACAUGCAAGUCGAACGGAAAGGCCCUGCUUUUGUGGGGUGCUCGAGUGGCGAACGGGUGAGUAACACGUGAGUAACCUGCCCUUGACUUUGGGAUAACUUCAGGAAACUGGGGCUAAUACCGGAUAGGAGCUCCUGCUGCAUGGUGGGGGUUGGAAAGUUUCGGCGGUUGGGGAUGGACUCGCGGCUUAUCAGCUUGUUGGUGGGGUAGUGGCUUACCAAGGCUUUGACGGGUAGCCGGCCUGAGAGGGUGACCGGCCACAGUGGGACUGGGAUACGACCCAGACUGCUACGUGAGGCAGCGGUGGGGAAUAGUGCACGAUGGGCGGAAGCCGGAUGCAGCAACGCCGCGUGCGGGAGGACGGCCUUCGGGUUGUAAACCGCGUUCGCCUGUGACGAAGCGUGAGUGACGGUAAUGGGUAAAGAAGCACCGGCUAACUACGUG